RNAcentral lists this ribosomal RNA (232 nucleotides) under Ecnomus tillyardi. RNAcentral's name for it is "partial 18S small subunit ribosomal RNA". It matches the Rfam family "Eukaryotic small subunit ribosomal RNA", at positions 1278 to 1471 of the family's 1831-position model. The record is from RNAcentral. Lineage: Eukaryota; Metazoa; Arthropoda; Insecta; Trichoptera; Ecnomidae.
GGCCAGUUGGUGCAUGGCCGUUCUUAGUUGGUGGAGCGAUUUGUCAGGUUAAUUCCGGUAACGAACGUAACUCUAGCCUAUUAAAUAGACGUGCUACCGAUAUCACGAGGGUCCGCGGGCGCGCAAGCGUUCCGCGGUCUUCAACUAUCGGCGUACAUUGAAAUCUUCUUAGAGGGACCGGUGGUAUAUAUAGCCACACGAGAUUGAGCAAUAGCAGGUCUGUGAUGCCCUU